Molecule: long non-coding RNA, 958 nt
Organism: Trachymyrmex septentrionalis
Lineage: Eukaryota; Metazoa; Arthropoda; Insecta; Hymenoptera; Formicidae
Exons: 4
Source: RefSeq, a predicted model, not a curated record
GCGGUCAUUCGCAAUUUACAAAUAUUCAUUCUUCGAUCAUUGCCAUCGCGAUGCAAGAUCGAAUAACCAAAACAAGAAAUAUCAGCGGACUCUGACAGUUUUACGCUUUUUUUUCUAUGCGUUAAUAAAAUAAAAUGUAUAACAAAUACAUAAAAUAGAUGGUACUAAAGUAAAUAAAGUUAAUAAAAUUAGACACAAAAUGGAAUGCUUGAUCAUUGCUUUGUGCACUGAGAAGCGUAAAUACGAAGCAAAAUAUAUACGAAUAGAUUAUAUAUAUAAGUCUAUCUUGGAUUUCCUCAAAUUCUCAGGACGCCACGUAUAGUAAAGCUAAAAGGAGCUUAAUUCAACCCUUUGAUUUGCUGCGGAACUGAAUGCGAAAAGCGAUUCGCUGGGGAAAUUAGGAGCGCGACUUUUUGAGGACAUUAUAAGGAAACUUUACGGCUAAUAUAUAUCUCAAAAACGCUUUGGAGAAAAUUGCCAUAAAUUCUAUUUUAUGAAGCGAUAUGAAAGGGUACGAUACCAGCGAGAUGCCCGGUAACCUCUUCUAGGGCAGAAAAUCCACCAUCCGCCGCAGGCAGCCGACAGGAAGUUCUCCCUGAAGUGCUUCGACAUAAACCCGUAAACUAUCGGGUUUAUACAGCUGCAAUACAGAUAUUAAAUUAAAGACUGCCGUUCGGUACAAUCGGAUCGAAUAUCGCGUUAAUCGUCGAACAGCUAAAAUGCGGAAACUACGCGGGUUUAUGCAACCGCGUCCAUAAACCCGCACCUGCGGAUGCACGCGGUUGCAUCGGAACGCGAAAUGAAAUCCGCAGUUUAACAUCUGGAAUGCGUAAACACAAUCCAAUUUCACAUUUUCCUGUAAUCGAAUUUUCAAGUGUAAAUCCCGUAUCGAUUAUUCUAUACCUGAGUGGUUCCAGCUUAUCAAAUUUUCUGAUAUAAAAACAAGAAAAAAAAAUGC